RNAcentral lists this ribosomal RNA (394 nucleotides) under Legionella sp. RNAcentral's name for it is "bacterial SSU rRNA". It matches the Rfam family "Bacterial small subunit ribosomal RNA", at positions 434 to 830 of the family's 1533-position model. The record is from RNAcentral. Lineage: Bacteria; Pseudomonadati; Pseudomonadota; Gammaproteobacteria; Legionellales; Legionellaceae.
UUGAGGGUUGAUUAGGUUAAGAGCUAAUUAAUUGGACGUUACCCACAGAAGAAGCACCGGCUAACUCCGUGCCAGCAGCCGCGGUAAUACGGAGGGUGCGAGCGUUAAUCGGAAUUACUGGGCGUAAAGGGUGCGUAGGUGGUUUAUUAAGUUAUCUGUGAAAUCCCUGGGCUUAACCUGGGCAGGUCAGAUAAGACUGAUUGACUCGAGUAUGGGAGAGGGUAGUGGAAUUUCCGGUGUAGCGGUGAAAUGCGUAGAGAUCGGAAGGAACACCAGUGGCGAAGGCGGCUACCUGGCCUAAUACUGACACUGAGGCACGAAAGCGUGGGGAGCAAACAGGUUUAGAUACCCUGGUAGUCCACGCUGUAAACGAUGUCAACUAAGCUGUUGGAUA